This 406-nucleotide ribosomal RNA is filed under the name uncultured bacterium. Its description in RNAcentral is "partial 16S ribosomal RNA". It matches the Rfam family "Bacterial small subunit ribosomal RNA", at positions 28 to 526 of the family's 1533-position model. The record is from RNAcentral.
GACGAACGCUGGCGGCAUGCUUUACACAUGCAAGUCGAACGAGUGGCGCACGGGUGAGUAAUACAUCGGAACGUGUCCUAUCGUAGGGGAUAACUGAACGAAAGAUCAGCUCAUACCGCAUACGAUAGGAGCGGCCGCGGCGGGAUUAGCUAGUGGGUGAGGUAAAGGCUCACCAAGGCGACGAUCGGUAGCUGGUCUGAGAGGACGACCAGCCACACUGGGACUGAGACACGGCCCAGACUCCUACGGGAGGCAGCAGUGGGGAAUAUUGGACAAUGGGGGCAACCCUGAUCCAGCCAUGCCGCGUGCAGGAUGAAGGUCUUCGGAUUGUAAACUGCUUUUGGCAGGGAAGCGGUACCUGAAGAAUAAGCACCGGCUAACUACGUGCCAGCAGCCGCGGUAAUAC